Gossypium arboreum is the source of this 327-nucleotide long non-coding RNA. RefSeq lists it as uncharacterized. NCBI's taxonomy places the organism in Eukaryota, Viridiplantae, Streptophyta, Magnoliopsida, Malvales, Malvaceae. The record is from RefSeq and is a predicted model, not a curated record. The transcript has 2 exons.
CAGAUUUGGAUCGGGGGGAAAAUCAAAAUGGUCGAUUAGUCGUCUCGUUCCGAUUAUCGUCUUCCGAGGUUUAUCCUUUAGUUCGAGUUGGAAGAGCCGGAGAUAUCAUCACACUAUCGAGUCAUUAUGUGAGUUGAGAAGAUGGUAUAUCAUCAUGAUUUAAGGCAUGUAUAGGAUAGACUAUAGGUAGAAUGAUAUUUUGUCUUUGUAUACAUUAUAGCCAUGCGAAGAUGGCUCGCUUAUUUUGUUUAGAGAAGCCUUAUAAUUGAACUAAUGUGUUGAAAUGUUUUAGUUAUAACUUGAUAGUAGUUAAUUUGUUAUUAGAUA